AAGAUUCCCUGUCUAAGGUCAGUUAGGAUCACCACUUUAUUUUAAGAAUGUGAAAUGUCAGAAUAAUAGGAGAGAAAAUUAUUUAUUUCAGCUUUUAUUUCUUUCAUCACAUUCCCAGUGGGUCAGAAGUUAACAUAAACUCAAUUAGUAUUUGGUAGCAUUGCCUUUAAAUUGUUUAACUUGGGUCAAAUGUUUUGGGUAGCUUCCCACAAUACGAUGGGGGAAUUUCAGCCCAUUCCUCCUGACAGAGCUGGUGUAACUGAGUCAGGUUUGUAGGCCUCAUUCCUCCUGACAGAGCUGGUGUAACUGAGUCAGGUUUGUAGGCCUCCUCCUUUUCAGUUCUGCCCACAAAUUGUCUAUAGGCUUGAGGUCAGGGCUUUGUGAUGGCCACUCCAAUACCUUGACUUUGUUGUCCAUAGGCCAUUUUGCCACAACUUUGGAAGUAUGCUUGGGGACAUUGUCCAUUUGGAAGACCCAUUUGCGGCCAAGCUUUAACUUCCUGACUGAUGUCUUGAGAUGUUGCUUCAAUAUACCCCUUGCAAGCCUCCCCCUUUUUCCUCCAUACACAACGAUGGGCAUUAUGGCCAAACAGUUCUAUUUUUGUUUCAUCAGAACAGAGGACAUUUCUCCAAAAAGUACGAUCUUUGUCCCCAUGUGCAGUUGCAAACUGUAGUCUGGCUUUUUUUAUGGCUGUUUUGGAGCAGUGGCUUCUUCCUUGCUGAGCGGCCUUUCAGGUUAUGUCGAUAUAGGACUCAUUUUACUGUGGAUAUAGAUACUUUUGUACCUGUUCCCUCCAGCAUCUUCACAAGGUCCUUUGCUGUUGUUCUGGGAUUGAUUUGCACUUUUCGCACCAAAGUAAGUUCAUCUCUAGGAGACAGAAUGCGUCUCCUUCCAGAGCGGUAUGAUGGCUGCGUGGUCCCAUGGUGUUUAUACUUGUGUACUAUUGUUUGUACAGAUGAACCUUCAGGCAUUUGGACAUUUCUCCAAAGGAUGAUCCAAACAAUGUAUUUUCUGAGGUCUUGACUGAUUUCUUUUGAUUUUCUCAUGAUGUCAAGCAAAGAGGCACUGAGUUUGAAGGUCGGCCUUGAAAUACAUCCUGAGGUACACUUCCAAUUGACGCAAAUGAUGUCAAUUAGCCUAUCAGAAUCUUCUAAAGCCAUGACAUAAUUUUCUGGAAUUUUCCAAGCUGUUUAAAGGCACAGUCAACUUAGUGUAUGUAAACUUCUGACCCACUGGAAUUGUGAUACAGUGAAUUAUAAGUGAAAUCAUCUGUCUGUAAACAAAUGUUGGAAAAAUGACUUGUGUCAUGCACAAAGUAGAUGUCCUAACCGACUUGCCAAAACUAUAGUGUGUUUACAAGAAAUGUGUGGUGUGGUUGAAAAACGACUUUUAAAUGACUCCAACCUAAGUGUAUGUAAACUUCCGGCGUCAACUAUAUGUAAGACAUGUUAUGACAUUUAUUUAUUAUUAUUAUUUUUUAAACCUUUAUUUAACCAGGCAAGUCAGUUAAGAACAAAUUCCUAUUUUCAAUGACAGCCUAGGAACAGUGGGUUAACUGCCUGUUCAGGGGCAGAACGACAGAUUUGUACCUUGUCAGCUCGGGGGUUUGAACUUGCAACCUUCCGGUUACUAGUCCAACGCUCUAACCACUAGGCUACCCUGCCGUCAUUACAAAUAACAAAUAUAAACCAAAUACACUUUUCCCCCUCAAACUUUAUUCAGGACAUGCUUACAUUAGCUUUCGGGACACAAAUCCUAUUUCCAUUGGACACAGAAACAGUAGAAAAAGACUAAAAAUUGACCACUUCAUUUGACCUUUUUGACAUGACCACUUAACGAAUGCAAACAACCUUUCCAAAGACCGACCGAGUUACAACAACAACUUUCUCAACAGGACCAUGUGAAAGUACAAACGUCGAAGUCUACAAAAAGAGAGAAAGGAAAUUGUAGAAAAUUAAAUAAAAUCAUUACAAAUAAGAGUUGGGUUUUUUUUAAAGCGAGAGACUUUUAAAACCACUGUUUUAUUGUUCACAGCUCCACGUAUCCCUGUGUAUCCUUGGCAACAACGUGGCUGGUCAAUAGCCUGGAAUCCUGACUGCUAUGCUCUGUUUCACCAAGUCAGUGGAGCAUUCAGUAUGGCUGAACCAGGCUAGGGUUUCAAAGCACCAGGAUGUUUGGUCUUUAUAUACAAAAAAUAUAAAAGUCACACGAUGACAGUGGAACAUGGUUGUGCUAUAAAGACAAAAACACAGAUCCAGUAUACAGAUGAUAUGGGCUUCCCUGUACCUCCUAUAUAGACAUGAAGGAUUCGAGAAGUUCUUAUUCUGACUGAAUAGAAGGAUUGGAGAAGUUCUUAUUCUGACUGACUGAAUAGAAGGAUUGGAGAAGGUCUUAUUCUGACUGACUGACUGAAUAGAAGGAUUGGAGAAGGUCUUAUUCUGACUGACUGAAUAGAAGGAUUGGAGAAGGUCUUAUUCUGACUGACUGACUGAAUAGAAGGAUUGGAGAAGGUCUUAUUCUGACUGACUGAAUAGAAGGAUUGGAGAAGGUCUUAUUCUGACUGACUGACUGAAUAGAAGGAUUGGAGAAGUUCCUAUUCUGACUGACUGAAUAGAAGGAUUGGAGAAGGUCUUAUUCUGACUGACUGACUGAAUAGAAGGAUUGGAGAAGGUCUUAUUCUGACUGACUGAAUAGAAGGAUUGGAGAAGGUCUUAUUCUGACUGACUGACUGAAUAGAAGGAUUGGAGAAGGUCUUAUUCUGACUGACUGACUGAAUAGAAGGAUUGGAGAAGGUCUUAUUCUGACUGACUGAAUAGAAGGAUUGGAGAAGGUCUUAUUCUGACUGACUGACUGAAUAGAAGGAUUGGAGAAGGUCUUAUUCUGACUGAAUAGAAGGAUUGGUGAAGUUCUUAUUCUGACUGAAUAGAAAGAUUGGUGAAGUUCAUAUUCUGACUGAAUAGAAGGAUUGGUGAAGUUCUUAUUCUGACUGAAUAGAAGGAUUUGUGAAGUUCUUAUUCUGACUGAAUAGAAGGAUUGGUGAAGUUCUUAUUCUGACUGAAUAGAAGGAUUGGUGAAGUUCUUAUUCUGACUGAAUAGAAAGAUUGGUGAAGUUCCUAUUCUGACUGACUGAAUAGAAGGAUUGGUGAAGUUCUUAUUCUGACUGAAUAGAAAGAUUGGUGAAGUUCCUAUUCUGACUGACUGAAUAGAAGGAUUGGUGAAGUUCUUAUUCUGACUGACUGAAUAGAAGGAUUGGUGAAGUUCUUAUUCUGACUGACUUAAUAGAAGGAUUGGUGAAGUUCUUAUUCUGACUGAAUAGAAGGAUUGGUGAAGUUCCUAUUCUGACUGACUGAAUAGAGGAUUGGUGAAGUUCUUAUUCUGACUGACUGAAUAGAAGGAUUGGUGAAGUUCUUAUUCUGACUGACUAGAAGGAUUGGUGAAGUUCUUAUUCUGACUUACUGAAUAGAAGGAUUGGUGAAGUUAUUAUUCUGACUGAAUAGAAAGAUUGGUGAAGUUAUUAUUAUGACUGACUGACUGAAUAGAAGGAUUGGUGAAGUUAUUACUCCGACUGACUGAAUAGAAGGAUUGGUGACGUUCUUAUUAUGACUGACUGACUGAAUAGAAGGAUUGGUGAAGUUAUUACUCCGACUGACUGAAUAGAAGGAUUGGUGAAGUUCCUAUUCUGACUGACUGGCUGAAUAGGAGGAUUGGUGAAGUUCUUAUUCUGACUGAAUAGAAGGAUUGGUGAAGUUCUUAUUCUGACUGACUGAAUAGAAGGAUUGGUGAAGUUCUUAUUCUGACUGAAUAGAAGGAUUGGUGAAGUUCUUAUUCUGACUGACUGAAUAGAAGGAUUGGUGAAGUUCUUAUUCUGACUGACUGAAUAGAAGGAUUGGUGAAGUUCUUAUUCUGACUGAAUAGAAGGAUUGGUGAAGUUCUUAUUCUGACUGAAUAGAAGGAUUGGUGAAGUUCUUAUUCUGACUGAAUAGAAGGAUUGGUGAAGUUCUUAUUCUGACUGAAUAGAAGGAUUGGUGAAGUUUUUAUUCUUACUGAAUAGAAAGAUUGGUGAAGUUCUUAUUCUGACUGACUGACUGAAUAGAAGUAUUGGUGAAGUUCUUAUUCUGACUGAAUAGAAGGAUUGGUGAAGUUCUUAUUCUGACUGACUGAAUAGAAGGAUUGGUGAAGUUCUUAUUCUGACUUACUGAAUAGAAGGAUUGGUGAAGUUAUUAUUCUGACUGACUGAAUAGAAGGAUUGGUGAUGUUCCUAUUCUGACUGACUGAAUAGAAGGAUUGGUGAAGUUCUUAUUCUGACUGACUGAAUAGAAGGAUUGGUGAAGUUCCUAUUCUGACUGAAUAGAAGGAUUGGUGAAGUUCCUAUUCUGACUGACUGAAUAGAAGGAUUGGUGAAGUUCCUAUUCUGACUGAAUAGAAGGAUUGGUGAAGUUCCUAUUCUGACUGACUGAAUAGAAGGAUUGGUGAAGUUCCUAUUCUGACUGAAUAGAAGGAUUGGUGAAGUUCCUAUUCUGACUGACUGAAUAGAAGGAUUGGUGAAGUUCCUAUUCUGACUGAAUAGAAGGAUUGGUGAAGUUCCUAUUCUGACUGACUGAAUAGAAGGAUUGGUGAAGUUCCUAUUCUGACUGAAUAGAAGGAUUGGUGAAGUUCCUAUUCUGACUGACUGAAUAGAAGGAUUGGUGAAGUUCUUAUUCUGACUGACUGAAUAGAAGGAUUGGUGAAGUUCCUAUUCUGACUGAAUAGAAGGAUUGGUGAAGUUCCUAUUCUGACUGACUGAAUAGAAGGAUUGGUGAAGUUCCUAUUCUGACUGACUGAAUAGAAGGAUUGGUGAAGUUCCUAUUCUGACUGACUGAAUAGAAGGAUUGGUGAAGUUCUUAUUCUGACUGACUGAAUAGAAUUAUUGGUGAAGUUCCUAUUCUGACUGACUGAAUAGAAGGAUUGGUGAAGUUCCUAUUCUGACAGACUGAAUAGAAGGAUUGGUGAAGUUCCUAUUCUGACUGAAUAGAAGGAUUGGUGAAAUUCCUAUUCUGACUGACUGAAUAGAAGGAUUGGUGAAGUUCCUAUUCUGA
Oncorhynchus keta (chum salmon) is the source of this 5075-nucleotide long non-coding RNA. RefSeq lists it as uncharacterized. NCBI's taxonomy places the organism in Eukaryota, Metazoa, Chordata, Actinopteri, Salmoniformes, Salmonidae. The transcript is spliced from 4 exons. The record is from RefSeq and is a predicted model, not a curated record.